AACGUAGGUUCCGAGCGUUAUCCGGAAUUACUGGGCGUAAAGGGCUCGUAGGCGGCCAACUAAGUCGGAUGUGAAAUCCCCAGGCUCAACUUGGGAACUGCAUCCGAUACUGGAUGGCUUGAAUUCGGGAGAGGGAUGCAGAAUUCCAGGUGUAGCGGUGAAAUGCGUAGAUAUCUGGAGGAAUACCGGUGGCGAAGGCGGCAUCCUGGACCGAGAUUGACGCUGAGGAGCGAAAGCUAGGGGAGCAAACGGG
RNAcentral lists this ribosomal RNA (253 nucleotides) under uncultured bacterium. RNAcentral describes it as "partial 16S ribosomal RNA". It matches the Rfam family "Bacterial small subunit ribosomal RNA", at positions 524 to 776 of the family's 1533-position model. The record is from RNAcentral.